UCCUUCGUCUUCUAUCUUUCUUCUGAUUUAUUGGGUUUAAAGGGAGCGCAGACGGGUCGUUAAGUCAGCUGUGAAAGUUUGGGGCUCAACCUUAAAAUUGCAGUUGAUACUGGCGUCCUUGAGUGCGGUUGAGGUGUGCGGAAUUCGUGGUGUAGCGGUGAAAUGCUUAGAUAUCACGAAGAACUCCGAUUGCGAAGGCAGCACACUAAGCCGUAACUGACGUUCAUGCUCGAAAGUGUGGGUAUCAAACAGG
RNAcentral lists this ribosomal RNA (253 nucleotides) under Phocaeicola plebeius DSM 17135. RNAcentral's name for it is "partial 16S ribosomal RNA". It matches the Rfam family "Bacterial small subunit ribosomal RNA", at positions 524 to 776 of the family's 1533-position model. Lineage: Bacteria; Pseudomonadati; Bacteroidota; Bacteroidia; Bacteroidales; Bacteroidaceae. The record is from RNAcentral.